Molecule: long non-coding RNA, 3720 nt
Organism: Frieseomelitta varia
Lineage: Eukaryota; Metazoa; Arthropoda; Insecta; Hymenoptera; Apidae
Exons: 2
Source: RefSeq, a predicted model, not a curated record
AUAUAUAUACAUACAUAAACACGUACGUAUAUUAUAUACGUGCGUACGAUACAAUGUAUAAUACACAGGACAGUGUGUUGUAUCACGGUAUAUUUUAAUAUGCAUAUUGGAGGAAAGUCGUUUUCUAUACAAAAAAAAAAAGAAAAGUCGAAAAUUGUUGAUCUCUAGUCUGUCCGAGUGUUUGUCCCUCUGAAUUAUUCAAAAGCGAAAGACGAGACGAUUUCAUAAAUCGUUGUAAAUAUUCGAGAACUCGAAUCGAAUAGAUUGAAACGGAAGCAAUAGGAACGUUCGGUUACAUCGAGCAUAUUGUAACGUUACCUUGAUAUUUAUACAUUGUGCUGUACCGAUUUCCCGAUGAACAAACUGAGACUGUAAGAGGUAAAACGCCAACGAAAACGAAAGCAGUGAACUAAUCUUGCCACGAUUAUUACAAUUUGCCGGCGAAGAAUAUGACGGGUCGCAUUUUCCGUGUUGCGAACCUCGGUACGUUGCCAAUUAAUUUUGUUAAAAUUGUAAAAAUUCGUAUAUUUCUCGACUAGAAAUAUAUCGAAAGACGUUCAAACAUUGGAGACAAGAUGUUAAUCACUUUUUCACUGGAUCGAACGUGUUUUCUUUCCAUAAAAUAUUUCUUCUCAGUCGUGAAGUGACAAAAAUGUGCUCGCCAUGUUCUUUCCUGUAAUCUUCGAUCAAACGCGCGUAUAAUUAACCCAUUAACUGUCGUGCGGCCUCUCUCUCUCGAAACUUUUGCAUAAUUUUAUACAAAAUUUAAUCAAUGGACUUGGUCGAAGUGUUGUAUUUUUGAACUGGAGCUUUCCUUUGAUCGCUUUUUAUUCCCGAAACCGAGGGCUGUGACAGUUAGUUGGUUAAUUGAUACACGUACAUACAGAUUUGUGUAUUAUUUAUAAGUUAUAAAUAAACUGUGGAUGUUUGAACAACAUGUUUCACAUAUUUUCGUGAAAAGGCAUAUGCACACGUGCACGCGUUACACGUCGCUUUUGUAUCCGUGUCACUGUGAUUUGGCUGCGGUUCGUAGAUGAAUAAAAUCGCCAAACAAUUGCGCGACGCUGGCGAUGCAAAUAACAAAUGAAAACGAUCAUUGUUGCAAUUGCAAUCGCUUAGAGCGUGUGUCGCAACGGUGGCGCGAGUUGCUUAAAAAUUUAACGUAUUCAUUAACAGCGUAUUUGCCCCACUGUUCGUGCAUAUUUGCAUAUUUUUCGUGCAUAUUUGCACACGCAAGUUUCGCACAUUUGCAUAUUUGCCUACUUUUCGUACAUAUUUGUAAAUGCACAAGGCGUGUGCGCACGUGCACGUGAAGCAAUAAGCAAAUAUGCACGGAAAAAUAGGCAAAUAUGGACGAAACGGUAGGGGAAAAAAUCCCCGUCAAAAGCGAGACGCGGUAUUUGCAUAUCUUUUCGUGCGUAAUUGCGUAUAUUUUUUUUCUUUUUUUAUUUUUUUUUUCGUGCACGAACAUCCGCAGUCUAGUUAUAAACGUUUGUGCACGGUAAUGACGGAGUUGGCGAAUUAAGCUCCGCGGGGACGCGGAUUUAUCGAACUGAUCAGCGCGGCAGUAAGUUCGUUGAACGCGGCUGCCUCGUUCCGUGACCUUCCCUCUUUCCGAUUCUCGCCAUUCCGGUGAAUCCCCGAUGCCACCGCUCUUUUCCCCUCUCUUUCGCCAUUUCGCUUGCCCAGCCGUAUAUCUCGCAAUUAUCGUCAUCUACCAACCUCGUCGCCAUCGUAAUCGUAAUCGCAAUCGCAAUCGUCAUCGUCAUCGUCAUCGUGUUCCUUAAAAAAAAAAAAAAAAAAGAAAAGUAAGAGAAAAACGAACGUAGCGGCGAACCAACGCUCGUCAGGUGAAAAAUUCGUGUUGUUUAGCGAUCCUCACGGACACACGCCCGAGAAAAACGAAAGAAAAAAGAAAAAAAAAAACCGCUAGAAAGGGCUCGAGCUAUAGAAGACGUAACAAUGAAGUAAUAAGUUAAGCGAAUAGUGAUAACCGAUUAUAAGCCGUAAUACUAGAGAUAAGGGAUGAGUGGUGCGGGAGAGUUGUAACGUUGUAUCGAGGUGUUGCCACGAGAAGACGAGAGAUGGAAAUGAAGGUGAAGGAAAAAGAGGAGGGAAGAAAUAACGGGGAAAGAAUGAAAUAUCCUUGUAGACUGUAGAUUGUUUCUCGCCGACGGUUCUCUUCCUUUGUAUCUCCUUCUUUUUUUUUUACUUGUUUUUUUCUUCUUCCUCUCUUGUUUUUCCUCCUUUUCUAUUUAAUCUAGCGACGAGAACGAUGCGUUUCGAUGUGUAUUUAUUUUUAACCCGCGUCUCUCUUCCGGAGGGAACGACCAAUUGAUCGUGUGGCCGUAGCGUAUCACGACUUUUAUUUCGCGUCCAACGAAGCGUGCAUUUUUUAUUCGCUGCGAAACGCUGUGUGCUUUAUUGGCCGAAAAAAACGUGUGCACGCGUCGGAUUCGCAAGGUCCGAUUGAUUUUUCGAACGUAACUUUAAGAUCUCGGUCGCAGGAAUGGGAAUAAAAUUGAAAAAAAGAAGAAGCGAGAAAGGGAAUAGGAAUCGUGGCGGUUUUCCCAGCGGAACAGUGCCACUGUAUCACGGCCGGACUGAUCUGUUUGCGAAAAAGCUUGCUGCUGGCCUUUUUCUUCACGCGAGAUAUGACAGCGACUGAACCGUAUGAUUUUAACAACAUGCAAUAUGAUUCUUAAUCCCCUGCGUGGUGCGCGUCAAUGAAAUCAAUAUCGAGUACGUGUCUCGCUCGGUUUUUUUUUUUUUUUUUUACUUUGUCCUCUUUCUGUCUUCUUCUUUCUUCAAUUUUUUUUUUUUUAUAUCGAACGUGUACAUACGUACGUACGUAUGUGACACGACGAGUGUGCGAAGCGAUCGUGUUCACGGUUCGAUGAAACACACAGUGCGCGCGAAUGUAAGAUCGAUAGUCGUAAAACGAGAAAUGAAAGAAACGGCAGAUAUACGAGGAUCGAAAAUAAGUAUGCUGCCGAUAGAAUUUCGUAGAAUUAUCAAUGACACUUAGAAGACGACGUUUGUACGAUGAAAAUGAAAAAUACUCUGUACAAAAAAAGAAAGAGAAAAAAGAAAAGUGUGUCGUACACUCACGAACACGCACGCACGCAUAUAUGCAUAAAUAAUCUCCUCCCUCGAUCAUAACGAUGUUCGUUUUUUUCUUUUUUAUUCGCACGCGUACGUUUCUGCACGCACUCUCUUUAUCCUUGUGAUCCCGCGGAUCGUCUUCUGAAAGACGUGGUUCGUUCCACGAUAAUAUGUGUUUUGUAUUAUCGUUCGUUUUUUAGUCAACUUAAUACCCGCUUUAAGGCCUUUUCUAUAUUUUUUAAUCGCAUGAAUACUCGCCGCGUGUCUUGCGAGCGAAAAUUUCGUUCGAUCAUGUGCCGCUGCAACGGAGAGAGAGAGAGAGAGAAAGGGCAAAUGAAAAAUGAAUGAAAGAGUGUGUGAUAUGUGCGUGAAUGUGUGCACGCGAGGAGAGAAAGAGAAAGGAGAAUACAAUAACGUCUUUCACGCGUAAAAAUAUUUUAGCCUGUCAUCGUUCGCGCGUCAAUUGUAUCAUACAAAUCCCUCGAUUGCGUUUCCAUUAAUUACGCUCACACCUAAUUUUAAUCGAACCGAGUUCUAACGAUAUCUAUGACCGUCUUGUAUUUGAUUGUGUACCUCGAUUUGUAUAUAUAUACAUAUAUAAAGAAAGAUUAAAAA